GGUGAGUACCCCUGCCAAGCAGAUAGGGUUCUGCACCCUGGAGUCACUUACCGCUUUAACAGUUCACUGCUCAGUCCUUGGAUUCAGUCAUCCCAUGGACCAUGGCUUUCGGGCUUUUCAUGUUAGAGUGGCUGCUUGUCGCAGUACUGUCUUCCUUGCUUUAUGUAAG
Molecule: non-coding RNA, 169 nt
Organism: Myotis davidii
Lineage: Eukaryota; Metazoa; Chordata; Mammalia; Chiroptera; Vespertilionidae
Source: Rfam